This is a long non-coding RNA of Daphnia magna, 408 nucleotides long. RefSeq lists it as uncharacterized. NCBI's taxonomy places the organism in Eukaryota, Metazoa, Arthropoda, Branchiopoda, Diplostraca, Daphniidae. The record is from RefSeq and is a predicted model, not a curated record. The transcript is spliced from 2 exons.
GCAGAUAAAAGAAAACUUUGUCUUUUUCUGUCACAAUAUGUUUUUGAUGGCAUUCAAUCAUCCAGUGAGGAAAGUGAUUCUGAUUCAGAGGAUACAGAAUUGCUUACUGUUAUCGGAUCCACCGAAAUGGAGCGUCAUCCUCGUCAAGUUGGAUACCUGAACGUGAUAUCUGUAUACUCUGAUGCAGAUUUUUUCAAACACUUCAGGGAGAUCUUUUCUACGGUGGAAAGCUGGACGAGGAAUAUCUCAAUUGCAACGUGAACAACCAACCGUAUGCUGUAGGUGUGAUAGAUCGCUUGGCUGAAAGAAAACGGCAACAAAUCUGUGACUCCCUACAAUGAAGACAAAAAUAAAAAUUUGUUAUCAAUCCAUAAACUGAAAUAAAGUACGCAUUGUUCUUCAUUGUAA